AUGUGAGUUUAUUUGAUCACUUUUUCCACCCUGGGUAUCUCACAGUGUCCCAUACCAGAGCAAACAGUGGUCCUGAACCAUUGCCUGGCCUCUGCCCAUGGGCUACAGGCACUGAAGUAGGUUGCACAGUG
This is a small nucleolar RNA of Artibeus jamaicensis (Jamaican fruit-eating bat), 131 nucleotides long. RefSeq annotates it as small nucleolar RNA SNORA42/SNORA80 family. The record is from RefSeq and is a predicted model, not a curated record. NCBI's taxonomy places the organism in Eukaryota, Metazoa, Chordata, Mammalia, Chiroptera, Phyllostomidae. The transcript has a single exon.